CAGAUGUCUUCAUCUCCUUCCCUGGCCACAGAAGACUCUGUGACAUCAAAGAGGAGUUCUAUAGGAUUGCAGAUGGUCUGCAAUGCUGACUGUGUGAUCAGCAAUGUUGUGGCAAAAUGGCCUGGCUCAGUCCAUGACUCCAGAAUCUUUCGGGCCUCUGAAAUCUAUCAGUGCCUAUCACAAGGUGAAUUCUCUGGUGUGUUGCUGGGAGACAGUGGGUAUGGCUGCCAGC
Long non-coding RNA from Oncorhynchus tshawytscha (Chinook salmon), 232 nucleotides. RefSeq lists it as uncharacterized. The record is from RefSeq and is a predicted model, not a curated record. Lineage: Eukaryota; Metazoa; Chordata; Actinopteri; Salmoniformes; Salmonidae. The transcript is spliced from 3 exons.